AUGCAACCUGAGAAAGAAACAUGCGAAAAAGUCAACAUAAAGUUGAGCGAGUUCAUAGUUUAAACAUGCGAAAAAGUCAACAUAAAGUUGAGCGAGUUCAUAGUUUGUUCAUAAAAGAUUUGAGAUAAAUCUUUUGAGUUGUGAAAGGUUUGAAAUAAAUCUUUGGUAACCGGUUUUUGAAAUAGUAUUGAGAAAAUGAAUUUAAAAAUCAUUUUCUUGCCAAGUUAUAUGGAAACGUUGUGUUUGUAACACGUUAUGUUCAUAAAACCAUGUAUUUGUAAAGUCUUGUAUUUGUAAUGUUCGCAUAACCGUCAAUGCCCACCCUGACUUUGACUCCAUACCCCCAUAAUUCUUUGAAUUUGUUAUAAAACAUGGUAGUUAAUUUGUAUGAACAAGAAGUUUCCG
This 405-nucleotide long non-coding RNA is filed under the name Helianthus annuus (common sunflower). Lineage: Eukaryota; Viridiplantae; Streptophyta; Magnoliopsida; Asterales; Asteraceae. The record is from RNAcentral.